RNAcentral lists this long non-coding RNA (410 nucleotides) under Salmo salar (Atlantic salmon). RNAcentral's name for it is "lncRNA (ENSSSAG00000099209.1)". The record is from RNAcentral. Lineage: Eukaryota; Metazoa; Chordata; Actinopteri; Salmoniformes; Salmonidae.
AGAUAGCUAGGUGGACCAGUCAUAGUCAGUACAUUCAUCUCCAGAUAGCUAGGUGGACCAGUCAUAGUCAGUCCAUUCAUCUCCAGAUAGCUAGGUGGACCAGUCAUAGUCAGUCCAUUCAUCUCCAGAUAGCUAGGUGGACCAGUCAGUCCAUUCAUCUCCAGAUAGCUAGGUGGACCAGUCAUAGUCAGUCCAUUCAUCUUCAGAUAGCUAGGUGGACCAGUCAUAGUCAGUACAUUCAUCUCCAGAUAGCUAGGUGGACCAGUCAUAGUCAGUCCAUUCAUCACCAGAUAGUUAGGUGGACCAGUCAGUCCAUUCAUCUCCAGAUAGCUAGGUGGACCAGUCAGUCCAUUCAUCUCCAGAUAGCUAGGUGGACCAGUCAUAGUCAGUCCAUUCAUCUCCAGAUAGCU